GGCAAAAUGGCUGAAGUGUAAGCGGCAAAUUGUAGCUUUGUUAAUGGAAGUUGAAUUUCUUUUGCCA
RNAcentral lists this transfer RNA (67 nucleotides) under Enoplochiton echinatus. Its description in RNAcentral is "tRNA-Tyr". It matches the Rfam family "tRNA". From Rfam's summary of the family: Transfer RNA (tRNA) molecules are approximately 80 nucleotides in length. Their secondary structure includes four short double-helical elements and three loops (D, anti-codon, and T loops). Further hydrogen bonds mediate the characteristic L-shaped molecular structure. tRNAs have two regions of fundamental functional importance: the anti-codon, which is responsible for specific mRNA codon recognition, and the 3' end, to which the tRNAs corresponding amino acid is attached (by aminoacyl-tRNA synthetases). tRNAs cope with the degeneracy of the genetic code in two manners: having more than one tRNA (with a specific anti-codon) for a particular amino acid; and 'wobble' base-pairing, i.e. permitting non-standard base-pairing at the 3rd anti-codon position. Lineage: Eukaryota; Metazoa; Mollusca; Polyplacophora; Chitonida; Chitonidae. The record is from RNAcentral.